This 253-nucleotide ribosomal RNA is filed under the name uncultured bacterium. RNAcentral describes it as "partial 16S ribosomal RNA". It matches the Rfam family "Bacterial small subunit ribosomal RNA", at positions 524 to 776 of the family's 1533-position model. The record is from RNAcentral.
GACGAACCGAGCGAACGUUGUUCGGAAUCACUGGGCUUAAAGGGCGCGUAGGCGGGCGGCUAAGUCUGUCGUGAAAUCCCCCGGCUCAACCGGGGAACUGCGAUGGAUACUGGCGGCCUCGAGGAACGUAGGGGUAUGCGGAACUAUCGGUGGAGCGGUGAAAUGCGUUGAUAUCGAUAGGAACUCCGGUGGCGAAGGCGGCAUACUGGACGUUUUCUGACGCUGAGGCGCGAAAGCCAGGGGAGCAAACGGG